RNAcentral lists this ribosomal RNA (253 nucleotides) under uncultured bacterium. RNAcentral's name for it is "partial 16S ribosomal RNA". It matches the Rfam family "Bacterial small subunit ribosomal RNA", at positions 524 to 776 of the family's 1533-position model. The record is from RNAcentral.
UACGUAGGGUGCAAGCGUUAAUCGGAAUUACUGGGCGUAAAGCGUGCGCAGGCGGUUUUGUAAGUCUGACGUGAAAUCCCCGGGCUCAACCUGGGAAUUGCAUUGGAGACUGCAAGGCUAGAAUCUGGCAGAGGGGGGUAGAAUUCCACGUGUAGCAGUGAAAUGCGUAGAGAUGUGGAGGAACACCGAUGGCGAAGGCAGCCCCCUGGGUCAAGAUUGACGCUCAUGCACGAAAGCGUGGGGAGCGAACAGG